AGCCUCAGUCAAGCGGCCCCAGAUGAUGGCAUGCAGACCAGAGAAGAGCUGUCCCUGCCAACACCUCCCCAUGUUACAGAAUCUUGAGCAAAUGUUUGGCCACGUGAUGCAAAGAGCCAACUUGUUGGAAAAAACCCUGAUGUUUGGGAAGAUUGAAGGCAGGAGAAGAAGGGGAAAGAGAAUGAGAUGGUUGGAUGGCAUCAUCGACUCAAUGGACAUUUUGCCCUGGUGUCCUGGACUACAGGUGAGUCCAUUGGUCGGCCUGAAGCCUUCAGACCCAGAAGCUGAACUACCUGCGUGCCUUCCUCCUCCCAAACCCAGACGACACUUGACUCUACCCCGCCCGGCAAGCCAGCUUGUGGUCACAAUUGCCUCCCUAUUUGCACCCUGCCUCAAUCAGCAUCACACAAGACCUAUCUUUUAGCCCUCCUCUCUUUUC
This is a long non-coding RNA of Bos taurus (domestic cattle), 439 nucleotides long. NCBI's taxonomy places the organism in Eukaryota, Metazoa, Chordata, Mammalia, Artiodactyla, Bovidae. The record is from Ensembl.